RNAcentral lists this transfer RNA (65 nucleotides) under Calyptogena pacifica. RNAcentral's name for it is "tRNA-Ser". Lineage: Eukaryota; Metazoa; Mollusca; Bivalvia; Venerida; Vesicomyidae. The record is from RNAcentral.
AGGCUUUGUUGGGAAAUGAUUAUUUUGAAAUUGAUUUAGGAACGUUCGAUUCGUUUAGAAGCUUA